UUGACCUCGGAUCAGGUAGGAAUACCCGCU
RNAcentral lists this non-coding RNA (30 nucleotides) under Fusarium oxysporum. Lineage: Eukaryota; Fungi; Ascomycota; Sordariomycetes; Hypocreales; Nectriaceae. RNAcentral also lists the same sequence under 21 other names. The record is from RNAcentral.